GACGAACGCUGGCGGCGUGCCUAAUACAUGCAAGUAGAACGCUGAAGGAGGAGCUUGCUUCUCUGGAUGAGUUGCGAACGGGUGAGUAACGCGUAGGUAACCUACCUGGUAGCGGGGGAUAACUAUUGGAAACGAUAGCUAAUACCGCAUAAUAGUAGAUGUCGCAUGACAUUUGCUUAAAAGGUGCAAUUGCAUCACUACCAGAUGGACCUGCGUUGUAUUAGCUAGUUGGUGAGGUAACGGCUCACCAAGGCAACGAUACAUAGCCGACCUGAGAGGGUGAUCGGCCACACUGGGACUGAGACACGGCCCAGACUCCUACGGGAGGCAGCAGUAGGGAAUCUUCGGCAAUGGACGGAAGUCUGACCGAGCAACGCCGCGUGAGUGAAGAAGGUUUUCGGAUCGUAAAGCUCUGUUGUAAGAGAAGAACGAGUGUGAGAGUGGAAAGUUCACACUGUGACGGUAUCUUACCAGAAAGGGACGGCUAACUACGUG
RNAcentral lists this ribosomal RNA (495 nucleotides) under uncultured bacterium. RNAcentral describes it as "partial 16S ribosomal RNA". It matches the Rfam family "Bacterial small subunit ribosomal RNA", at positions 28 to 507 of the family's 1533-position model. The record is from RNAcentral.